This 696-nucleotide long non-coding RNA is filed under the name Daucus carota (carrot). RNAcentral describes it as "long non-coding RNA (DCAR_LNC007456)". Lineage: Eukaryota; Viridiplantae; Streptophyta; Magnoliopsida; Apiales; Apiaceae. The record is from RNAcentral.
CAUGUAUGUAUUUGUGAGUAAAACCUGUAGUGGAAAGCACAACCAUUCUCUUUCAGUUCUCAUUUAAAUUAAGCAGCCCACAACAUUCUUGUUAUUAAUUAUAUUAAAAACCCCCACAUCAUGUCAAAUAAUCAGUACAACUCCGAAUAAAACAAUCAUGCCAAAAUCAGUACAACUCAAAAUCAGUACCACUGAAAAAUCAGUAACAAGUACAACUGAAAAAUCAAAAUAAAACACCAAAAUCAUGCCAAAUAAUCUCCAGGAACAAUUCAAAUCUUCAGAAAAUAAACAAGCACAUACCAGGAAUUUUAUGAAGAACCCUAGUUUGGUAGCAGACCCCACGCACAAAGCAAUUCAGAGAGCAAUUCAGAGAACCCGGAAAACCCACAAAGCAAACCCAGCGAUUCAGAGAAGUAGUGUAGAACUCAGAUUGCAGCAGACCAAGAGAUUCCGAUUCAGAGCUUGAAAGCAAACCAAGAGAUUCCAAUUGAGAUUGAGCAAACCCACAAACUUGAUAAACCUGUCGAGAGAUUGAGAGAGAUUCGAGAGCAGAUGAUAACCCAGCGAUUCAGAUUGAGAUUCNGAUUGAGAUUCCGAUGGAUUGUGGAUUGUGGAUUGAGCAGCGCGCGAUUCCGAUGAGAGAGCAAAGAUUGAGAGAGCAAUUGAGAUUUUGAUGUCUGAGAAGGAAAAUAAAAC